Esox lucius (northern pike) is the source of this 1836-nucleotide long non-coding RNA. NCBI's taxonomy places the organism in Eukaryota, Metazoa, Chordata, Actinopteri, Esociformes, Esocidae. The record is from Ensembl.
UCGGACCUUGUUGGCUCAUUUGUUUAGGAUUUGAACUGUGGAAAAUAGCUAACUUAAGUAACAAAACAUAAAAUGGAAUGUAGAUAUGUCUGCCACUCAGAUGAAAGAAAAGCUAUACAUAAAAAAAAAAAUUAUGAGCCUUUGAGAAACGUCGUUAGUAGAGUAAUUGAACAGCAGAAUGACAAGAUGGAUAGAUCUGACGUUACAUUGAUAGGAGCAGCAUCGCAGCUUCAAGCGAAGGGGGGAAUACAUUUAUGAUCCAGGUCCAACAGCAGCAACCAGUGAAGUUUUGUCCACAGGAGGUUGUGAUAUGCUGAAAAAACUGGCUACUAAGGUCAAUGCGGUUGGGAAAGGCAUGGAGCAAUGUGCAACAACCACGCGGAGAGCGAUAAGCGGGAUUUCCGCUCUGGUCAACUCUAUGCACAUACUCUUGGAGAACGAGGAAAGAAAAAGGUGCAGUGGUCUCUUAAUGUUUUCCGGAGCUGUAUGUAGUGUGAAGACAUAAUAAGCUGGAAAAACAAUUGAAGGCCAUGACUACCCUUAUGAAGCAAUCCCAAACCUCAGCACAGCAAUUGGGAUACCAAGUGAGCAAGCUUUUCAACAUUUCAAAACUUCUGAUUACUUGAAUUACAUAAUUUCUUCAACCUUUUUUGUAAGUGAUUCCUGAAACUACAGAAUGUUUCCAUGUGUCUGACCCUCUGUUUCCAGUAAUGGCUUUGUAUUCAUAAAACACAAUUGGGGCUGAUGGUUUGAACAAAGUCAAGUGAAUAGUUUAUUACCACAGGGAAGAUUACAUAUGCUUUGAUCAUUCUUUUACGCAACAGCAAAAUGCAUGCACACACAUGCAAGCAAACACAGACACACAAUAUGACUUCUUGACCUUGGAUGUUCUCUCACAGCUCGGAGGCCUUGUAAGUCUUGUCUGAAUUGGAGAACAAGUUCAGACUCCCUGUGCACAAGGGCCUCAUUUGGCAUUCAGCACCCUACUGAUGUGUUGGCUAAGCACAGAUCCUAAUUGCGUCGGCCAUUUUGUACCACUUGUUGUUUUCCCUUUGAUGUGAUCGUUAACAUGGAGGGAUGCAGGGAGUCCACACUCUGGGGUGCCUGCCAAUGUCAAGGGGCCAGGUAAACACAUCUGACUCACCUAUGAUGCUGUAGUAGUGGCAUCAAGGUAUAACUCAUUGUGAUAUGGUGCGUCUCUAUGAUCACAGGUGGACGGCUAAAAAUAGACAGAUUUCUGCAAGGUGUUUGACGUUUGGAACGUCACGGUGUAGACUGCAAAUAGAUCAGUAACACGUCAACACUUUAAUUUAGAGUGAGAGUCACUCUUUAUUUCCAAAAGACAAAAAUAGAAUCAGAUCAUUCUUAAAAAGAACAUUUUUAAAAAUAGACGCAGAAAAAUGAAAAGUAGAAAUUUCUUACCAUCAUUAAUCUGCCUCUAUGUGGUUAUUCCGAGUGCACCAUUGUGCAUUAACAACCACACACUAUGCAAUUAGUCCAAGGCGAGGUGCAAUCUUAAAAGCGAAUGCAACACAUAGCUUACUCUCAAUACUCCUUUACCAGAGCUAUAUUGAUUUAUAUUAGCAACAGCCUAAUUAACAUUUAAUCUAGUCAUACAUUUUAGAGUGAGUCGGAAAGUCACUUAAUGUGGGAAUCUGUUAAAAAAGAACCGUAUAAUUCACUGCUCGCACAGAUACCAAUUACGUGCAAACAGAUUUCUUCUAUGAAUGCUUAAAAAUGUUGUCAUGAUGAGAUAUUACUGACGCUACUCGUGUCCAUAGGCACUCAGCAACAUUUAUGCAUGAACAAAUUUAAUCUGAAUUAGAACAGCAGGUA